Non-coding RNA from Paramuricea clavata, 386 nucleotides. NCBI's taxonomy places the organism in Eukaryota, Metazoa, Cnidaria, Anthozoa, Malacalcyonacea, Plexauridae. The record is from the annotation of a GenBank genome assembly.
UAUAUAUAUAUAUAUAUAUAUAUAUAUAUAUAUAUAUAUGUGUCCAAUAUCCUAUUUUGUUCUUUAUGUAUCUUUUGUUUCAUAUAAUUCCAGUUCAUUUUUCAUUAUUUUCAGACCGAGAACUUGUCACCCAAGCCCUGCUAAGCCUCUUCUUUUUCUUUUUCUUAGGGGGCGACGCUCUUCGAAAUUUGGCUAUAAGGCUCCUUCGUUUUGAGUCCAAUCGUCACGAAAUUUGACACAAUGAUUUUAAGUUAAAUGUCAUUUCGAAUCGACUGAAGAUGCCGAUUUUUUAUAAUUUAUUUUCUAUUUAGGAGCAACGUACAAGCAAUUCAUGAUAGUGUCUGUAUGUAUCGAAUAAUAAUAAUUAUGCAUAUCAUUAAUGUUCA